GACGAACGCUGGCGGCGUGCUUAACACAUGCAAGUCGAACGGAAAGGCCCUGCUUUUGUGGGGUGCUCGAGUGGCGAACGGGUGAGUAACACGUGAGUAACCUGCCCUUGACUUUGGGAUAACUUCAGGAAACUGGGGCUAAUACCGGAUAGGAGCUCCUGCUGCAUGGUGGGGGUUGGAAAGUUUCGGCGGUUGGGGAUGGACUCGCGGCUUAUCAGCUUGUUGGUGGGGUAGUGGCUUACCAAGGCUUUGACGGGUAGCCGGCCUGAGAGGGUGACCGGCCACAUUGGGACUGAGGUACGGCCCAGACUCCUACGGGAGGCAGCAGUGGGGAGUAUUGCACAGUGGGCGGAAGCCUGAUGCAGCAACGCCGCGUGCGGGAUGACGGCCUUCGGGUUGUAAACCGCUUUCGCCUGUGACGAAGCGUGAGUGACGGUAAUGGGUAAAGAAGCACCGGCUAACUACGUG
RNAcentral lists this ribosomal RNA (468 nucleotides) under uncultured bacterium. Its description in RNAcentral is "partial 16S ribosomal RNA". It matches the Rfam family "Bacterial small subunit ribosomal RNA", at positions 28 to 507 of the family's 1533-position model. The record is from RNAcentral.